AAUGCACCAAUUUGUAAGUCGCUCUGGAUAAGAGCGUCUUCUAAAUGACUUAAA
Non-coding RNA from Salmo salar (Atlantic salmon), 54 nucleotides. The record is from Rfam. Lineage: Eukaryota; Metazoa; Chordata; Actinopteri; Salmoniformes; Salmonidae.